This 860-nucleotide ribosomal RNA is filed under the name uncultured soil archaeon. RNAcentral describes it as "bacterial SSU rRNA". It matches the Rfam family "Archaeal small subunit ribosomal RNA", at positions 23 to 890 of the family's 1478-position model. The record is from RNAcentral.
GUCACUGCUAUCGGUGUUCGAUUAAGCCAUGCGAGUUUUGAGGGGUAAAGCCCUCGGCGGAGUGCUCAGUAACACGUGGACAACCUACCCAAGAGUCAGGGAUAACCCCGGGAAACUGGGGAUAAUACCUGAUAGGCCAUGACAUCUGGAAUCGAGUUGUGGUUUAAACGUAAGGCUCUUGGAUGGGUCUGCGGCGGAUUAGGUUGUUGCCGGUGUAACGUACCAGCAAGCCUGUAAUCCGUACGGGUUGUGGGAGCAAGAGCCCGGAGAUGGAUUCUGAGACACGAAUCCAGGCCCUACGGGGCGCAGCAGGCGCGAAAACUCUACAAUGCAGGCAACUGCGAUAGGGGAACAUCGAGUGGCAUCCACCAUGGAUGUCUGUCCAAUCGUCUAAAAAACGAUUGUCAGCAAGGGCCGGGCAAGACCGGUGCCAGCCGCCGCGGUAUACCGGCGGCUCGAGUGGUGGCCGAUAUUAUUGAGUCUAAAGGGUCCGUAGCCGGCUUUGCAAGUCCUAUGGGAAAUCCAGCGGCUUAACCGUUGGGCUUUCAUGGGAUACUACAUUGCUUGGGACUGGGAGAGGUAGGAGGUACUCAGGGGGUAGGGGUGAAAUCCUGUAAUCCUUUGGGGACCACCGGUGGCGAAGGCGUCCUACCAGAACAGGUCCGACGGUGAGGGACGAAAGCUAGGGGCACGAACCGGAUUAAAUACCCGGGUAGUCCUAACCGUAAACGAUGCUCGCUAUGUGUCACGGCAGUCCUGAAUUGUCGUGCUGCCUAGGGAAGCCGUGAAGCGAGCCACUUGGGAAGUACGACCGCAUGUUGACACUUAAAGGAUUGGCUGGGGGAGCACAAUCACUAGUG